Molecule: ribosomal RNA, 253 nt
Filed under: uncultured bacterium
Lineage: Bacteria
Description: partial 16S ribosomal RNA
Rfam family: Bacterial small subunit ribosomal RNA
Source: RNAcentral
UACAGAGGGGGCAAGCGUUAUUCGGAAUUAUUGGGCGUAAAGGGCGCGUAGGCGGCCUGGCAAGUGGAAGGUGAAAUCCCUCGGCUUAACCGAGGAACUGCCCUCCAAACUGCUUGGCUCGAGUCCGGGAGAGGUGAGUGGAAUUCCCAGUGUAGCGGUGAAAUGCGUAGAUAUUGGGAGGAACACCAGUGGCGAAGGCGGCUCACUGGACCGGAACUGACGCUGAGGCGCGAAAGCGUGGGGAGCAAACGGG